RNAcentral lists this non-coding RNA (25 nucleotides) under Cricetulus griseus (Chinese hamster). The record is from RNAcentral. Lineage: Eukaryota; Metazoa; Chordata; Mammalia; Rodentia; Cricetidae.
CAAAAGGAAAAACAAAAAGGAGCUG